RNAcentral lists this ribosomal RNA (923 nucleotides) under uncultured Micromonospora sp. RNAcentral describes it as "bacterial SSU rRNA". It matches the Rfam family "Bacterial small subunit ribosomal RNA", at positions 188 to 1127 of the family's 1533-position model. The record is from RNAcentral. Lineage: Bacteria; Bacillati; Actinomycetota; Actinomycetes; Micromonosporales; Micromonosporaceae.
GCAUGUUUGUGGGUGGAAAGUUUUUCGGCUUGGGAUGGGCUCGCGGCCUAUCAGCUUGUUGGUGGGGUGAUGGCCUACUAAGGCGACGACGGGUAGCCGGCCUGAGAGGGCGACCGGCCACACUGGGACUGAGACACGGCCCAGACUCCUACGGGAGGCAGCAGUGGGGAAUAUUGCACAAUGGGCGGAAGCCUGAUGCAGCGACGCCGCGUGAGGGAUGACGGCCUUCGGGUUGUAAACCUCCUUCAGCAGGGACGAAGCGUGAGUGACGGUACCUGCAGAAGAAGCGCCGGCCAACUACGUGCCAGCAGCCGCGGUAAGACGUAGGGCGCGAGCGUUGUCCGGAUUUAUUGGGCGUAAAGAGCUCGUAGGCGGCUUGUCGCGUCGACUGUGAAAACCCGUGGCUCAACUGCGGGCCUGCAGUCGAUACGGGCAGGCUAGAGUUCGGUAGGGGAGACUGGAAUUCCUGGUGUAGCGGUGGAAUGCGCAGAUAUCAGGAGGAACACCGGUGGCGAAGGCGGGUCUCUGGGCCGAUACUGACGCUGAGGAGCGAAAGCGUGGGGAGCGAACAGGUUUAGAUACCCUGGUAGUCCACGCUGUAAACGUUGGGCGCUAGGUGUGGGGGGCCUCUCCGGUUCUCUGUGCCGCAGCUAACGCAUUAAGCGCCCCGCCUGGGGAGUACGGCCGCAAGGCUAACACUCAAAGGAAUUGACGGGGGCCUGCACAAGCGGCGGAGCAUGCGGAUUAAUUCGAUGCAACGCGAAGAACCUUACCUGGGUUUGACAUCGCCGGAAAUCCUGCAGAGAUGUGGGGUCCUUCGGGGCCGGUGACAGGUGGCGCAUGGCUGUCGUCAGCUCGUGUCGUGAGAUGCUGGGUUAAGUCCCGCAACGAGCGCAACCCUCGUCCCAUGUUGCCCGCAAUUC